This is an RNA transcript of Lycium ferocissimum, 974 nucleotides long. RefSeq lists it as uncharacterized. The record is from RefSeq and is a predicted model, not a curated record. Lineage: Eukaryota; Viridiplantae; Streptophyta; Magnoliopsida; Solanales; Solanaceae. The transcript has 6 exons.
AACCAUAACAUUCUUGCCAGUUCUAUUUUAGGUUCUAAUCUCACUCAAGGCCAACUGAGACUUAGUCCCCUUUUAUGACAGACACGUGUCAGUCACCAACGAAAUAUCUUGACAAGCACGUGAAGGACCCCGAAAGCAGAAGAUUCUAAACCACCUGAAAUUUUCAUCCCCAAGUACACACGAACCGAAAAACCAAUUACCUAGAAAAACUUCCAGUUUUAAAGUUGGAGUAACUGAAAGAAAAUGGAGGGAGAGGGGGAAGGAACAGUGAGAGAGCGUUCAAUUUCACCAACUAGAGCCCGACCCGGAUCCGACCCGUUCCUGGUGACUUGUAGAGUGUUCAGCUUUGUUACUGCCUUGGCUGCUAUUCUCUGCAUUGCUGUUAAUGUUUACUCUGCCGUGAGAUCAUUUAAGCAUGGUUAUGACGUAUUUGAUGGAAUUUUCCGCUGUUAUGCCGUGUUGAUUGCAAUUGUUGUGGUCGUUGCGGAGACCGAGUGGAGCUUUUUCAUAAAGUUCUGGAAGGUGUUGGAGUUUUCAGCUGGAAGGGGCAUGCUACAGAUCUUCGUUGGAGUGAUGACCAGAGCUUAUCCUGAAGUAUAUGGGCAAAGGAAUGACCUCAUUCUUCUCCAGAACAUAGCUAGCUACUUUCUUAUUGCCUGUGGUGCAGUUAACAUUAUAUCAGUAAGUUCAGGAAACCAUCAGGUUGCUACAUGGCAAUCUCUUGUCUGUCAGGUCCUAUACUGUUGUAGCUUGUAGUUGAUAUGACACAAUCCGUAAGAAGUAUGAUGCGUGACCUUGCUUCUCUUGAUCGGGAUUGUUGUGCUUUGGAUUUAUCAAACGUGCACGCCAGGAGAAAGAAGUCUCCAGGGAGCAAGCGAUUCAGGAUCUGCAGGAAUUGGAGCGUCGUAGAGAAGAGCUAGAAGCACUGUUGAUACAAGAGAGGGCUUGAGGACAUAGAGCUGAUAUUAUGCUAC